This 486-nucleotide ribosomal RNA is filed under the name uncultured bacterium. Its description in RNAcentral is "partial 16S ribosomal RNA". It matches the Rfam family "Bacterial small subunit ribosomal RNA", at positions 30 to 507 of the family's 1533-position model. The record is from RNAcentral.
AUUGAACGCUGGCGGCAUGCCUUACACAUGCAAGUCGAACGGCAGCACGGGUGCUUGCACCUGGUGGCGAGUGGCGAACGGGUGAGUAAUACAUCGGAACAUGUCCUGUAGUGGGGGAUAGCCCGGCGAAAGCCGGAUUAAUACCGCAUACGAUCUACGGCUGAAAGCGGGGGACCUUCGGGCCUCGCGCUAUAGGGUUGGCCGAUGGCUGAUUAGCUAGUUGGUGGGGUAAAGGCCUACCAAGGCGACGAUCAGUAGCUGGUCUGAGAGGACGACCAGCCACACUGGGACUGAGACACGGCCCAGACUCCUACGGAAGGCAGCAGUGGGGAAUUUUGGACAAUGGGCGAAAGCCUGAUCCAGCAAUGCCGCGUGUGUGAAGAAGGCCUUCGGGUUGUAAAGCACUUUUGUCCGGAAAGAAAUCCUUGGCCCUAAUACGGUCGGGGGAUGACGGUACCGGAAGAAUAAGCACCGGCUAACUACGUG